RNAcentral lists this ribosomal RNA (830 nucleotides) under Martelella endophytica. RNAcentral describes it as "bacterial SSU rRNA". It matches the Rfam family "Bacterial small subunit ribosomal RNA", at positions 76 to 940 of the family's 1533-position model. The record is from RNAcentral. Lineage: Bacteria; Pseudomonadati; Pseudomonadota; Alphaproteobacteria; Hyphomicrobiales; Aurantimonadaceae.
CGAACGAUCCUUCGGACUACUGGCUGACGGGUGAUUAACGCGUGGGAAUCUACGUUUUGGUACGGAAUAGCUCCGGGAAACUGGAAUUAAUACCGUAUGUGUCCUUCGGGAGAAAGAUUUAUCGCCAAAAGAUGAGCCCGCGUUUGAUUACGUAAUUGGAGGGGUAAAGGCCUAACAAGCCGACUAUCGAUAUCUGGUCUGAGAGGAUGAACAACCACAUUGGGACUGAAACACAGCCCAAACUCCUACGGGAGGCAGCAGUGGGGAAUAUUGGACAAUGGGCGCAAGCCUGAUACAUCCGUGCCGCGUGAGAGAUGAAGGCCCUACGGUUGUAAAUCUCUUUCGCCGGUGAACAUAAUGACUGUAACCUGUAAAAAAACCCAGGCUAACUUCGUGCCAACAUCCGCGGUAAUACGAAAGGGGCUAACGUUGUUCCGAAUUACUGGGCGUAAAGCGCACCUAUGCGGACAUUUGAGUCAGGGGUGAAAUCACAUAGCUCAACUCAGGAACUGCCUUUGAUACUGGAUGUCUUGAGUAUGGAAGAGGUAACUGGAAUUGCGAGUGUAGAGGUGAAAUUCGUAGAUAUUCUGUGGAACACCAAUGUGCGAAUUGCGGCUUACUGGUCCAUUACUGACGCUGAGGUGCGAAAGCGUGAUGAGCAAACGCGAUUAGAUACCCUGGUAGUCCACUCAUGCACGAUGAUAGCUAGAGCGUCGGGUUGUAUGCACUCGGUGGCGCACUUAACGCAUUAUGCUAUCUACCUGGUGAGUACGGUCGCAAGAUUAAAACUCAAAUGAAUUGACAGGUUGCCCGCACUAGGCGAGUGGAGC